This is a microRNA precursor of Cercocebus atys (sooty mangabey), 100 nucleotides long. NCBI's taxonomy places the organism in Eukaryota, Metazoa, Chordata, Mammalia, Primates, Cercopithecidae. The record is from Ensembl.
GAGGUGGGAGGAUGGCUUGGGUCCAGGAGGUCGAGGCUGCAGUGAGCUCUGAUUGCACCACUGCACUCCAGCCUGAGUGACAGAGCAAGACCCUGUCUCA